RNAcentral lists this ribosomal RNA (465 nucleotides) under uncultured Klebsiella sp. Its description in RNAcentral is "bacterial SSU rRNA". It matches the Rfam family "Bacterial small subunit ribosomal RNA", at positions 338 to 795 of the family's 1533-position model. The record is from RNAcentral. Lineage: Bacteria; Pseudomonadati; Pseudomonadota; Gammaproteobacteria; Enterobacterales; Enterobacteriaceae.
CCUACGGGGGGCAGCAGUGGGGAAUAUUGCACAAUGGGCGCAAGCCUGAUGCAGCCAUGCCGCGUGUGUGAAGAAGGCCUUCGGGUUGUAAAGCACUUUCAGCGGGGAGGAAGGCGUUAAGGUUAAUAACCUUGUCGAUUGACGUUACCCGCAGAAGAAGCACCGGCUAACUCCGUGCCAGCAGCCGCGGUAAUACGGAGGGUGCAAGCGUUAAUCGGAAUUACUGGGCGUAAAGCGCACGCAGGCGGUCUGUCAAGUCGGAUGUGAAAUCCCCGGGCUCAACCUGGGAACUGCAUUCGAAACUGGCAGGCUAGAGCCUUGUAGAGGGGGGUAGAAUUCCAGGUGUAGCGGUGAAAUGCGUAGAGAUCUGGAGGAAUACCGGUGGCGAAGGCGGCCCCCUGGACAAAGACUGACGCUCAGGUGCGAAAGCGUGGGGAGCAAACAGGAUUAGAUACCCCAGUAGUC